Molecule: ribosomal RNA, 510 nt
Filed under: uncultured bacterium
Lineage: Bacteria
Description: partial 16S ribosomal RNA
Source: RNAcentral
CUUUCGGGCACCCCCGGCUCUCACCGGGCCUCCGGACAUGUCAAGGGUAGGUAAGGUUGUUCGCGUUGCAUCGAAUUAAUCCACAUCAUCCACCGCUUGUGCGGGUCCCCGUCAAUUCCUUUGAGUUUUAACCUUGCGGCCGUACUCCCCAGGCGGUCGACUUCACGCGUUAGCUACGGUACCAAGAGAUCUCUCUCCCGACACCCAGUCGACAUCGUUUAGGGCGUGGACUACCAGGGUAUCUAAUCCUGUUUGCUCCCCACGCUUUCGUGCCUGAGCGUCAGUGUCGGCCCAGGGGGCUGCCUUCGCCACCGGUGUUCCUCCGCAUCUCUACGCAUUUCACUGCUACACGCGGAAUUCCACCCCCCUCUGCCGCACUCCAGUCCGCCAGUUUCCAAUGCCGUUCCCAGGUUGAGCCCGGGGCUUUCACAUCAGACACAACGAACCGCCUGCGCACGCUUUACGCCCAGUAAUUCCGAUUAACGCUCGCACCCUACGUAUUACCGCGGC